This 63-nucleotide transfer RNA is filed under the name Ampithoe lacertosa. RNAcentral's name for it is "tRNA-Lys". Lineage: Eukaryota; Metazoa; Arthropoda; Malacostraca; Amphipoda; Ampithoidae. The record is from RNAcentral.
CAUUUGGUGGCCGAAAUUAAGCGUAAGUCUUUUAAACUUAUUAUAGUUAUAAACUUCAAAUGG